GUGGGGAAUUUUGGACAAUGGGGGCAACCCUGAUCCAGCCAUCCCGCGUGUGCGAUGAAGGCCUUCGGGUUGUAAAGCACUUUUGGCAGGAAAGAAAUCGCACGGGAUAAUACCUCGUGUGGAUGACGGUACCUGCAGAAUAAGCACCGGCUAACUACGUGCCAGCAGCCGCGGUAAUACGUAGGGUGCAAGCGUUAAUCGGAAUUACUGGGCGUAAAGCGUGCGCAGGCGGUUCGGAAAGAAAGAUGUGAAAUCCCAGGGCUUAACCUUGGAACUGCAUUUUUAACUACCGGGCUAGAGUGUGUCAGAGGGGGGUGGAAUUCCGCGUGUAGCAGUGAAAUGCGUAGAUAUGCGGAGGAACACCGAUGGCGAAGGCAGCCCCCUGGGAUAACACUGACGCUCAUGCACGAAAGCGUGGGGAGCAAACAGGAUUAGAAACCCUUGUAGUCC
Molecule: ribosomal RNA, 450 nt
Filed under: uncultured bacterium
Lineage: Bacteria
Description: partial 16S ribosomal RNA
Rfam family: Bacterial small subunit ribosomal RNA
Source: RNAcentral